CCUACGGGUGGCAGCAGUGGGGAAUAUUGCACAAUGGGGGAAACCCUGAUCCAGCGACGCCGCGUGAGUGAAGAAGUAUUUCGGUACGUAAAGCUCUAUCAGCAGGAAAGAAAAUGACGGUACCUGACUAAGAAGCCCCGGCUAACUACGUGCCAGCAGCCGCGGUAAUACGUAGGGGGCAAGCGUUAUCCGGAUUUACUGGGCGUAAAGGGAGCGUAGGCGGCCUGGCAAGUCUGGAGUGAAAUUCCGGGGCGCAACCCCGGAACUGCAGUGGAAACUGUCAAGCUGGAGUGCCGGAGAGGCAGGCGGAAUUCCUGGUGUAGCGGUGAAAUGCGUAGAUAUGAGGAGGAACACCGGUGGCGAAGGCGGCCUACUGGACUGUAACUGACGUUGAGGCUCGAAGGCGUGGGGAGCAAACAGGAUUAGAUACCCGUGUAGUC
This 440-nucleotide ribosomal RNA is filed under the name uncultured bacterium. RNAcentral's name for it is "partial 16S ribosomal RNA". It matches the Rfam family "Bacterial small subunit ribosomal RNA", at positions 338 to 795 of the family's 1533-position model. The record is from RNAcentral.